GUUUUCCUCCUUGACCCUGGAGCGUUCCUGUACUUACUUCACUCCUGUCCCUCACCGAAAACAGCGGUACUGGAGGAAUCAACCCCAUGCCCGCCAGUCACCGGGUUGUUUGAGGUCAUGGAUAAAUACAGCUGAAGCUCCUCUGCCCCGUACGUACGGCUAGCACGAGAAACUUACUGUAGUUUUAGUUUUAACAUUCUCCAUAGGUGACUUUAAACUUCAUUUCUUGAAAAUGGGUUCAAAAUAAGAAAACUGCCCUGGUUGCGCAGGGAUCACACCCGCAGCAGACGGCGCGCGCUGGCCUUGGCGGGCCGGGCGAGAGCGGCCUUAGGCGUUCACUCCCCUGCCUGCCUGCGCUCCACUCGAACCCAGCUUUUUCUUGGGCGAGUAUGCUAAGGGCCGAAGUUUCCGUGGAGAGCCGCCCCCACAGGCCCCGGGGGCUGCCAGGACCUCUGAGGCAGGGCCGGGGGCCAAGGGCAGGUCUGCCCGGAGGCGGCACGAAAACCUCUGCCAGGCUUUGGGAUUGGGAUGCAGGGCGCUCCAAGGAGACCCCCGCCCCUAGUUUCACCGAGAGGCCCAUCCCCGAAAGACUCCCAGGCUCGAUGAGACUCGAAGCCCACGGGGCGAAGGGCACCUGCCCGGGCGCCAGGAGGCCCGGCCCAGGGUCGCCGUGGCGCCCUUACCCACGGUGGACUUGCAGGCCUCGCAGAAGGUGUCGUCGGUGAAGCGCUCCAUCAGGCUGGUCUUGCCCACGCCGCGGGAGCCGAUAAUGAUGACCUGCAACUUGAAGUCGGCCGGCCUGGGGGGCUGCUUCCUCCGGCGGCCCUGGC
Molecule: long non-coding RNA, 830 nt
Filed under: Homo sapiens (human)
Lineage: Eukaryota; Metazoa; Chordata; Mammalia; Primates; Hominidae
Description: HSALNT0392837
Source: RNAcentral